GCCUGGGUGGCGAAAUUGGUAGACGCGCCAGACUCAAAAUCUGGUAUCAGCAAUGAUGUGUGGGUUCGACUCCCACCCCAGGCACCA
RNAcentral lists this transfer RNA (87 nucleotides) under Pseudomonadales bacterium. RNAcentral's name for it is "tRNA-Leu". It matches the Rfam family "tRNA". Rfam says of the family: Transfer RNA (tRNA) molecules are approximately 80 nucleotides in length. The record is from RNAcentral. Lineage: Bacteria; Pseudomonadati; Pseudomonadota; Gammaproteobacteria; Pseudomonadales.